AGUUAGACGUUCAGAGUUUUGAUCCUGGCUCAGGAUUUAACGCUGGCGGCAUGCCUAAUACAUGCAAAUCGAACGAAGCCUUUUGGCUUAGUGGUGAACGGUGAGUAACACGUAUCCAAUCUACCCUUAAGUUUGGGAUAACUAGUCGAAAGAUUAGCUAAUACCGGAUAAUAACAUUCACUUGCAUGAGUGAAUGUGGAAAGUUGCGUUUGCAACGCUUUUGGAUGAGGGUGCGACGUAUCAGAUAGUUGGUGAGGUAACGGCUCACCAAGUCAUUGACGCGUAGCUGUACUGAGAGGUAGAACAGCCACAAUGGGACUGAGACACGGCCCAU
This 334-nucleotide ribosomal RNA is filed under the name uncultured bacterium. RNAcentral describes it as "bacterial SSU rRNA". It matches the Rfam family "Bacterial small subunit ribosomal RNA", at positions 1 to 334 of the family's 1533-position model. The record is from RNAcentral.